CCCCACAGCUCUGCAUUUCCCUCCCUGGCACAGGGACUGGGACAGUUCUGCCCUGUGUGAAGCAGACAUGGUGCCCCUGUUAUUGCUGCCCCUGCUGUGGCGGGGGUCCCUGCAGGAGAAGGAAGGCUAUGAGCUCCAAGUGCAGGAAUUGGUGACGGUGCAGGAGGGUCUGUGCAUCCAUGUGCCCUGCUCCUUUUUCUACCAGCGGGGCUCGUGGUUUUCCUCUAGAGAACUCUACACCUUCUGGUACCUGAGUGAAGAUGGCACAAAUUAUGCAUCUCCUGUGGCCACAAAUGACCGAUAUGCACAAGUGAAGCAACAGACUCAGGGCCGAUUCCUCCUCGCAGACCCUAGGACCAACAGUUGUUCCCUGAGCAUCAGAGACUCCAGGAAGAGUGACACAGGAACCUAUGUCUUCCAAGUGCUGACUGGAUAUUUUGACAGAUAUACCUACCAAGAUAAGAAGCUGACUUUGAAGGUGACAGACCUGACACAGAAACCUGACAUCCACAUUUGGGGGCCCCUGGAGUCUGGCCGCCCCACACAGCUGAGCUGCAGCCUGCCAGGGUCCUGUGAAGAGGGAAGUCCUCUCAUCUUCUCAUGGGUGGGAAAUGCUCUUGAUUCUCUGAAUCUCAAGACCCUUCGUUCCUCCAUGCUCACCUUCACCCCGAAGCCCAGGGACCAUGGCACCACAGUCACCUGUCUGGUGACACUUGCAGGACCGGGGGUGACCACACGUGAAACCAUUCAGCUCAAUGUCUCCUAUGCUCCACGGAACCUCGUGAUAGGCGUGUCCUACAGAAAUGUCACAGCACUCGAGAUUCUGCAAAAUACUUCAUCCCUUCCCAUCCUGGAGGGUGAGGCUCUGCGGUUGCUGUGUGUGGCUGACAGCAACCCCCCUGCACAGCUGAGCUGGUUCCAGGGAUCCCCAGUACCGAAUGCCACCCCCAUCUCCAGAACCACGAUCCUGGAGCUGCCUCGAGUGGGGACUGGAGAAGAAGGACAGUUCACAUGCCAAGCUCAGCACCCACUGGGCUCCCAAAGUAUCUCUCUCAGCCUCUCUGUGGUCUAUGCCCCACGGCUGGUGGGACCCUCCUGCUCCUGGGAGGACGAGGGUCUGCGCUGCAGCUGCUCCUCCCGAGCAGAGCCGGCCCCCUCGGUGCGCUGGCAGCUGGGGGAGGGGCUGCUGGAGGAGAACCCCAACAACGACUCCUACACCAUCACCUCCCGCUCCGUGAGGUCCUGGGCCAACAGCUCCCUGAGACUCCGCGUGGGGCUCAACGCCGGCCUCAGGAUCACCUGCGAGGCGAAAAAUGUCCACGGGGUCCAGAGCGCCAGUGUCCUGCUGCUUCCAGGGAAGUCGAUAUCUGUUUCCAGAGUGGUUCCCGCAGCUCUUGGAGGUGCUGGUGCCAUGGCCCUACUCUCCUUAUGCUUGUGUCUCAUCUUCUUUUACAUAGUGAAAUUGCACAGGAAGCAAACAGACAGGAGACGAAAGGCCACAAAUGAUGAAGACCCUGUCAUGGGCACAGUCACCUGGGUGAGUGAUGGUUUCCAGCUAAACCCUAGGCCAGAUGGGCCUCCAGACCUAGUGUCACCCACUGGGGAUGUCUCUCCAUUGAGAGAGGAGCAGGAUACCCAGUAUGCCAAACUCACCUUUCAUGGGAGAAAGCCCUGGGAGCCUCAGGACAAGGAGGCCAUCACCACCUGUGUGUACUCAAAGAUCAAGGAGACACGCCAAUGAGGACUCGCUGAGAGCUCCGUCCUAGCUAGAGGCAUCACAGCCUCUAUGAGGGAAAGAAGACAGGGACUAAUUGAUGAAACGUGAGGAAACCUCGUGCAACAUUAACAUUAACCACUGUAAGAGCACCUGCAGACAGAGCAGAAAGAAGGUGAUGGGAUUGGAGAAACUUGGACUCAAGUGCAGACUUCAGUACUUCCUAAGGCAUUGUCUUCAAAAAUUGAGAAGAUGGCCCUGAGGAAAGAAGAGGACAAUUAUAGUUUGUAACUAGGACUUUGGUUCCCCACAUCCACUACAUGAACUCCAAUUUCGGUAUGGCAAGAAGUUGAAUUGUGACUCUUGUCUUGCUAAUAACUGGUUAAAUCAUUCUGCUCAGGACUUGUGCUGAAAAUAACAAAAUUCUUUCGGAAAAAAGUAAAUAGAAAAAAAUAAAAUUCCUCAUUUUUAUAAGUAUAGAAUAAUUGAAAAUAAAUAAAAAUGGGCACUCACUAGGCUAGUAUUUGGAGAAUACUUGAAUUCAGAAAAUGAGACAGAAUAUUUAAACCAAGAUACCAAAGUUCCCAAUGACAUCUACGCACACUGAUCAUGUAGCUUUGGUUCUGUGGCCUUUGUGACACAGAAAUGAAAGGGGCUUGAAGAGAAAGGGAAAGAAAGAAAUUAUGAGACUCCUGGGAGCCUUCCUGUUUUAUUCUCGAUUUGAGAUACAAUCCCAUAGUGUAACUUGUAUGUUUAUAUAAUGUAAACUAUUUUAAUAAGGCACCAUAUUAUAUAUUUCUCAUAUUUAUUAAUGUAUAAUAUUGUACUAUAGUAUACAAAAUACAAUAUGAAAAAUUACAGUGUA
Molecule: RNA transcript, 2579 nt
Organism: Artibeus jamaicensis (Jamaican fruit-eating bat)
Lineage: Eukaryota; Metazoa; Chordata; Mammalia; Chiroptera; Phyllostomidae
Gene name: sialic acid-binding Ig-like lectin 5
Exons: 10
Source: RefSeq, a predicted model, not a curated record